This 61-nucleotide ribosomal RNA is filed under the name Bipolaris zeicola. RNAcentral's name for it is "partial 28S ribosomal RNA". The record is from RNAcentral. Lineage: Eukaryota; Fungi; Ascomycota; Dothideomycetes; Pleosporales; Pleosporaceae.
UUGACCUCGGAUCAGGUAGGGAUACCCGCUGAACUUAAGCAUAUCAUAAACCCGAAGAAAA